This 833-nucleotide ribosomal RNA is filed under the name uncultured bacterium. Its description in RNAcentral is "bacterial SSU rRNA". It matches the Rfam family "Bacterial small subunit ribosomal RNA", at positions 23 to 887 of the family's 1533-position model. The record is from RNAcentral.
CUCAGAAUCAACGCUGGCGGCAUGCCUAACACAUGCAAGUCGAACGCGAAAGUCCUUCGGGAUGAGUAGAGUGGCGUACGGGUGAGUAACGCGUGGGUGAUCUUCCUUCGGGUGGGGAAUAACUCAGGGAAACUUGAGCUAAUACCGCAUAAUACGGAAACGUUAAAGCAGCAAUGCGCCUGAAGAUGAGCCUGCGUCUGAUUAGCUAGUUGGUGGGGUAAUGGCCCACCAAGGCGACGAUCAGUAGCCGACCUGAGAGGGUGGUCGGCCACACUGGCACUGAAAUACGGGCCAGACUCCUACGGGAGGCAGCAGUGAGGAAUUUUGGGCAAUGGGCGAAAGCCUGACCCAGCAAUGCCGCGUGAACGAUGAAGUCUUUCGGGAUGUAAAGUUCGUAAGCAGGAGAAGAAUACAAUGACGGUAUCCUGUGUAAGCCCCGGCUAACUCCGUGCCAGCAGCCGCGGUAAUACGGGGGGGGCAAGCGUUGUUCGGAAUUACUGGGCGUAAAGGGCGUGUAGGCGGCAAGGAAAGUCAGACGUGAAAUCUCGGGGCUUAACCUCGAAACUGCGCCUGAUACUUCCAUGCUAUGAGUGCGGAAGAGGCAACCGGAAUUCCUGGUGUAGCGGUGAAAUGCGUAGAUAUCAGGAGGAACUCCAGUGGCGAAGGCGGGUUGCUGGGCCGACACUGACGCUGAGGCGCGAAAGCUAGGGGAGCAAACGGGAUUAGAUACCCCGGUAGUCCUAGCCCUAAACGAUGAUUACUUGGUGUGCAGGUUACACGGUACCUGCGUGCCGGAGCUAACGCGAUAAGUAAUCCGCCUGGGGAGUAUGAUC